UGCAUUUUGCCAUGCCAUGAUUCAUUAAACCGGACAUGCAUCAUAUUUGAUUGUGCAUCAUGCCAUGUUCAUGUGUUGGUUGUUUACUAUGUUGUGUGCUUCUUUCUGGUGUUUGCUUCUUCGGGUUGGUUUCGAUAACGUCACGCUUGUGAGGACCCGUUCGUCUACGUUCGUUUGUCUUCUUCAUGGACUCGUUCUUCUUCCUUGUGGGAUUUCAGGCAAGAUUAUCAUACCCUCAAAAUAACUUCUAUCUUUGCUUGCUAGUUGCUCUCUCUUUUGCUAUGCCUAUGCUUCGAUACCUACCACUUGCUUAUCAUGCCUCCCAUUUUGUUGAACCAAGCCUCUAACCCACCUGGUCCUAGCAAACCGUUGUUUGGCUAUAUUACCGCUUUGCUCAGCCCCUCUUAUAGCGUUGUUAGUUGCAGGUGAAGAUUGAAGUUUGUUCCUUGUUGGAACAUGGAGAUGUUGUUCCUUGUUGGAACAUGUUUACUUGUUGGCAUAUUACAAUAUAUCUUCUUUAAUUCAUGCAUCUAUAUACUUGGUAAAGGGUGGAAGGCUCGGACUUAUGCCUGGUGUUUUGUUCCACUCUUGCCUCCCUAGUUUCUGUCAUAUCGAUGUUAUGUUCCCGGAUUUUGCGUUCCUUAUGCGGUUGGGCUAUAAUGGGAACCCCUUGACAGUUCACCUUGAAUAAAACUCUUCCAGCAAUGCCCAACAUUGGUUUUACCAUUCGUUACCUAGCCUUUUCUUUUCCCUUGGGAGUCGCGCUCCUGAGGGUCAUCAUUAUUUUACCCCCCCCCCGGGCCAGUGCUCCUCUGAGUGUUGGUCCAACCUGUCAGCUGCCGGUGGCCACCAGGGGCAACUCUGGGCUGGCCUACCCGUACCUUGGACAAUCCGGUGUGCCCUGAGAACGAGAUAUGUGCAGCUCCUAUCGGGAUUUGUCGGCACAUUCGGGCGGUGUUGCUGGACUUGUUUUAUCUUUGUCGAAGUUGUCUUGUAGAACCGGGAUGCCGAGUCUGAUCGGAAUGUCUCGUGAGAAGGUUUAUCCUUCGUUGACCGUGAGAGCUUGUGAUGGGCUAAGUUGGGACACCCCUGCAGGGAUUUGAACUUUCGAAAGCCGUGCCCGCGGUUAUGGGUAGAUGGGAAUUUGUUAAUGUCCCAUUGUAGAAAACCUGAAGUUGAUCUUAAUUAAAAUACAUCAACCGCGUGUGUAACCGUGAUGGUCUCUUUCUGGCGGAGUCCGGGAAGUGAACACGGUGUUGGAGUUAUGCUUGACGUAGGUUGUUCUAGGAUCACUUCUUGAUCAUACUUUUAUCGACCGUGCUUUGCCUUCUCUUCUCGCUCUCAUUUGCGUAUGUUAGCCACCAUAUAUGCUAGUCGCUUGCUGCAGCUCCGCCUCAUACCUUUUACCUUAGCCAUAAGCUUAAAUAGUCUUGAUCGCGAGGGUGUGAGAUUGCUGAGUCCCCAUGACUCACAGAUACUUCCAAAACCAGCUUGCAGGUGCCGUUGAACCGUGCAGAUGACGCAACCAAGCUCAAGGAGGAGCUCGAUGAAGAUCUUGCCCUUUGUGUUGUUUCGUUCUAGUUGAUCAGUAGUGGCGCCCAGUUGGGGUCGAUCGGGGAUCUGUGUAGAAUUUGGGGUAGUCUUAUUUUAUUUUGGCUCCGUAGUCGGGCCCCGAUUGUAUUUGGAUGAUGUAAUGCUUUAUUCAUGUAUUUGUGUGAAGUGGCGAUUGUAAGCCAACUAUGUAUCUUUUCCCUUAUUGUAUUACAUGGGUUGUUUGCGAAGAUUACCUCACUUGCGACAUUGCUU
RNAcentral lists this long non-coding RNA (1806 nucleotides) under Triticum aestivum (bread wheat). Its description in RNAcentral is "long non-coding RNA (TAES_LNC014677)". The record is from RNAcentral. Lineage: Eukaryota; Viridiplantae; Streptophyta; Magnoliopsida; Poales; Poaceae.